Drosophila pseudoobscura is the source of this 991-nucleotide long non-coding RNA. RefSeq lists it as uncharacterized. NCBI's taxonomy places the organism in Eukaryota, Metazoa, Arthropoda, Insecta, Diptera, Drosophilidae. The record is from RefSeq and is a predicted model, not a curated record. The transcript is spliced from 2 exons.
CAACAAACUGGUCGAUAAGGCGGGCCCGGCCCUAACAAACAAACUAACAAAACACAACAACUAAAGAGCCACUAAGGAGGCCCCAGAGCGCCCCAGAGGCGAGGCCCAGAGCCCGAGAGCCCGUGAGUCCGAGAGUCGUCAUCUGGCAGCAGCGUCAGAGGCGAGAAACUUUAGCGGCUUCUAACGGGUAUACACAAAGCAACAACAACAACAACAACAACAAAACCGUUUGCAUUCCUGACCUACUCUGCAACUUUACAUUGACUUCAAACGGCCUGUAGUCCCGGGCCUCCACCGCCUCCCUCUCUCUGCCUCUCUGCUGCAUGCCACUCCGACCAAAGCGCGCAGACGAUGUUCAGCAUUCAGCAUAGAAAUGGGUGGAGACUCCAAAACGAGUUGGGGGUUAAAGGAUAUGGCCAACAAGCAACAGCAACAGCAACAACCUGGUUGGCCAUAAAAAAGUUGUAUUUUUUACCUCCAAAAGUAGUUAAACUUCAAAAGCCGACAAACGUGGAAGAAGAGAAGAAGCAGCAGGGGCAGGGGAAGAGGCAAAAGCAGACGAAGAAGAGGUGGAAAAAAUGCAUGGCAUGAAAACGAGUUUUCACUACUUUUGCCUAUUAUACAGCACCAACAAAAGCAACAAAAACAACAACAAAGCCCCCAAUUGAGAGAUGGAGACGACCGUAGACGUCGUAGAUGCCACAUCAAGGCAUGCAACGCCACCACCCAAUACCAAAGCAAUACAGAAACAAACGAAACAAAGCACAAGGCACAUUGCAAGCCGAUGACGUGCGCACAGUGGUUGUCGGAGGAUUUGCAUGUGAAAUGUUCAGCGAGCAAUUACAUAACAGUCGAUGAAUGCGGGCCUGAUGCGAGUAGGGGACAUCUUUUGAUCACAGAUAAAUGGAAAUGAAAGAGAGUCUCUGAAAAUAUGAAUAAUUUGAAUAGUAAAUGUAUUUUUUGGUGGGAGAAAAACCUCUUUAAAUGGUUC